AUGCUUAGAAAACUUUUUAUGAUCCAACUUCUGCUGUUCGUGACACUGGUAGAAGCAAGGAAACCAUUUCUUAGUUUUCUGAAUAUAGAGAAGACUACAAUAUUUUUGACAAAGAUUGAAGAAAAAAUAAUUGUGAGAUCAAGUUACAAAGAUAAAUGGCCUAACUCCAGCUAUCUCUUUGUGAAAACAGAAGAUCCUAGAAUUUUGCAGGUGGUGAAUGUGACCAAGACCUCAUCAAAUGUUACAAACUUUACUAUCAAUCUAAUAACACAUCAAGAAGGAGAGACAAAUUUGACCCUUCAACUCUGGGAUUCUGAAGCUUUUCUUACAUCAUGUACUGAGGUCUCUGCCAGCUAUAUGAACUCUUUUUGCAGCACCCAGUGAAGAUCUUUUGGGCAGUGUAGAACAUGUUUGCAGUGCUGCUACGAUGGAGUCUGAACACUAGGCUCCCCUGUGCACUGAUAGAUUUACCUUUUUCAUUUUCCAAAGGCAUUUGGAAGCAGAAUGGCCUUUUUGGCCAUAAAAAAACAAACCAAGACAAAUCAAACCAGAGUUUCAUGAAAAGAAUGAUGCAGUGGUAGCUGAGGCCUCCUCUACAAAAACAGAACAAAACAAAAAUGACUUUCUGGGUUUUAAUUUGAAGGAAUGAGAUAGUUGAUCCUUUAUCCAUCUAAAGUUGUAUACACUGAUUUUAGCAGUGUUGUCAAAUCAGUGGGACCAUUUUCACUUAGGAAAGAUUUAAAGGUGACUCUGAUAUUUCUGGAAAUGUCUGGAAAUUUUCAUUUGGUUAUAUGUCAGUGCUUUUGAGGAUGGAUUUUGCAAGAUUUUAAAAUUUUAACAUGAUUCAUAAUGAGAAACCAAAAAGUUUCUGAAGGCUUUCUUUAAAAUCAAGAAAUUAAGGGCUGAGGAUUUAGCUCUGUGGUGCUGCACCUGCCUGGCAAGUGCAAGGUCCUGAGUUCAAUCCGUGGGACCCAAUCAAUCAAUCAAGAAACCAGAACUAUCAUUUGAUAAGCAAACAGAAGUAUCCACAUCAGUCUCUAUUUUUUUUUCUUUUUUUCCCCUUUUACUGAAGAUUGAAUUUGGGGUGCUCUACCACCGAAAUAUUUUUUGUUUUGAGACGUCUAAGUGCGUUUCUCCUACCUCAGCCUACUGAAUAGCUGUAAUUACAAGUGUGUACUACCAUGCCCAAUACAAAUCAAAUUCUUAAGACAUCAUUCUUCAGAAAAACGUAGACAAGUUUUAGAUCUUUGCGAAGUUUGAGCAUCCACCGUUCACAUUAUUUGUCCUUGAGAUGUGUUUUACACUGGUAACAGCACCUUGUCUUCUGAUUAAACUGAAGGAAGCCAUCACGUCAGAUGCAAAGAGCAACAUAACCUACUGUUCUGUUCCUCUUGUGGACAGGACAUCUUAUAUCUGUGCAACGCUCUAGACAUUAUGGCAAUAUAUAUGCUAUGGUGCCACAUCUGCUAUUUCAUGAGGAGGAACCAUUUUUAAGGGCUAUUUAGUCUGUGUUUUAUGCAGUGCAACAUUUUACCAUGUACAUUCAGGAAAUGUGGACUUUGGAGACAGAAUGUCUGCCUAUUCCAUUCUGUGAACUUGCAGAGGAUAAAUCGCUUAACUUCACUGAGCUGUCAGUCUCGUGUUUCUGAUGAAGACAAUCAUACUUUCUUCAUGGAACUGCUGCAAUGUUUAAGUUAAACAAUGCACAUGAAAACACAGUUGCCUGAAGCACUUAAGUCAGUGAGAACUAACUGAGUUAUGGAGAAUAGGAGCGGUUGGGGCCGGGUAUCUUUU
Long non-coding RNA from Fukomys damarensis (Damara mole-rat), 1794 nucleotides. The record is from Ensembl. Lineage: Eukaryota; Metazoa; Chordata; Mammalia; Rodentia; Bathyergidae.